This 514-nucleotide long non-coding RNA is filed under the name Suricata suricatta (meerkat). Its description in RNAcentral is "lncRNA (ENSSSUG00005009364.1)". Lineage: Eukaryota; Metazoa; Chordata; Mammalia; Carnivora; Herpestidae. The record is from RNAcentral.
UUGAGCCCAGGAAAUCUGGAUUCAGAGUCUAUGCCACUGAUAGUGUUUUUUUCUUAACACGUGAAAUUUCUUUCUUUCUUCUUUUUUUUUUUUUUUUUUACUUUAACAAGUAUUUUCUUUCAGCUGUUCUCAGCCAAAGUCAUGGGAGAUCCCUUUCUCAUGGAGGAAAUAGGUCUGCUUGCACUCAAGUCUGCAGCAGGUGAAGGACAGAACCAAAGCCAAGAUUCUCACAUGCUUCUCCUGGAGACCUUUUCCAAACUUCUGGAACUCGUGACCCUCCGCCACCGGCUGAUAGAAAUGAGUCUGGAGAGUGUACAUUUAGCUCGUCUCUAUAAGGAACUGGCAUGGGAGAUGGGUUUUGAAGAGUACCAUUUGUAUCUGAGGCCUGUUCACUUUGAAUUUGCAUCACAUAAGGACAACGUGGACCAUCCACCUCCUGUUUUUAUCACCUCUCUGCUGGAGGACAGUGAUCGAGUGGACAGGUGAGCCUUGAGAAGGUCCAAGUAAAAAUAAU